Molecule: ribosomal RNA, 357 nt
Filed under: uncultured Archaeospora
Lineage: Eukaryota; Fungi; Glomeromycota; Glomeromycetes; Archaeosporales; Archaeosporaceae
Description: eukaryotic LSU rRNA
Source: RNAcentral
GUGAAAUUGUUGAAAGGGAAACGAUUGAGGCCAGUCGUGCUGGCAGAAAAUCAGUCAAGCAAAGUUGUUUCUCUGUGAAGCGAUAAUGAUUGAUGCACUUUUCUGUUUGGCAGGUUAGCAUCAGCUUUGUUUGUUGUAAAAUGGUGGUCGGAAAGUGACUCUUUUUUGAGUGUUAUAGCCGGUUACAGAUGCAACAGAUGGGGCUGAGGAUUGCGGCAAAUGCCUUUGGGCUACAAACCUUCUUUCUGAAUUGUCUGGCAUAGAUUGACAGCAUGCUGACGAUUUAUGAUCCGGAUAUUCAAUAGAGUAGAGUUUGGUAAAUUUGGCAAGGAUGCUGACGUAAUGGCUUUAAACGAC